CAAUAGGCCCUUUUCAGGGCCAAUAAAUGUGUCCUUAAGAGUUAUUU
Aedes aegypti (yellow fever mosquito) is the source of this 47-nucleotide non-coding RNA. The record is from Rfam. NCBI's taxonomy places the organism in Eukaryota, Metazoa, Arthropoda, Insecta, Diptera, Culicidae.